Molecule: long non-coding RNA, 415 nt
Organism: Salvelinus namaycush (lake trout)
Lineage: Eukaryota; Metazoa; Chordata; Actinopteri; Salmoniformes; Salmonidae
Exons: 3
Source: RefSeq, a predicted model, not a curated record
CUAACAGGUAAACCCGAAGUUUAAAUAGCCUCUGAAAUUCCAGUUGCCCGUGUUUGGGAUAUACUCGAGACUUUGGUCACCCCAAAAAAUACACUAGGCAGACUAGCGAAACAAGAUGACAUCCCCCAAAAAGCAAGGUUUAUUACGGGAGGCAUCUCACCAGAUCAUUGCCGGUGGAUCAGCAGUGUAACCAGAACAAUGCAAACCAGAACCAUGCAAACCAGAACCAUGCAAACCAGAACCAGAGCCGUGCAAACCAGAGCCGUGCAAACCAGAGCCAUGCAAACCAGAGCCGUGCAAACCAGAACCAGAACCAUGCAACCCAGAACCAGAACCAUGCAAACCAGAAUCAUGCAAACCAGAAUCAUGCAAACCAGAACCAUGCAAACCAGAACCAUGCAAACCAGAACCAUGC